This 206-nucleotide long non-coding RNA is filed under the name Pan troglodytes (chimpanzee). Its description in RNAcentral is "long non-coding RNA NONPTRT004558". The record is from RNAcentral. Lineage: Eukaryota; Metazoa; Chordata; Mammalia; Primates; Hominidae.
UGUGAUCCAUGAGAGGAAAUCAAAAUACCAACAUUAACAGUUGUUUCAUGAACAGACACUUCUCAAAAGAAGACAUUUAUGCAGCCAAAAAACACAUGAAAAAAUGCUCACCAUCACUGGCCAUCAGAGAAAUGCAAAUCAAAACCACAGUGAGAUACCAUCUCACACCAGUUAGAAUGGCAAUCAUUAAAAAGUCAGGAAACAAC